CGGGUAUAGUUCAAUGGUAGAACCUUAGCUUCCCAAGCUAAUGAUGCGGGUUCGAUUCCCGCUACCC
RNAcentral lists this transfer RNA (67 nucleotides) under marine eukaryotic metagenome. It matches the Rfam family "tRNA". Rfam says of the family: Transfer RNA (tRNA) molecules are approximately 80 nucleotides in length. Their secondary structure includes four short double-helical elements and three loops (D, anti-codon, and T loops). The record is from RNAcentral.